Molecule: non-coding RNA, 21 nt
Filed under: Arabidopsis thaliana (thale cress)
Lineage: Eukaryota; Viridiplantae; Streptophyta; Magnoliopsida; Brassicales; Brassicaceae
Source: RNAcentral
UGGCUAGAGUUUUCGGAGUCC